ACACCUCCUCUUCCUGCCUUUCUCAGUUCUCCGUUCUGCUUUUCCUGUUCCCGCGUUACUCAUGUUGGAUUUGCCUUUGUAUUUUAUGUAUAGAUGCAGUUGCAAUUGUGCAGUCUGAGCCACAGAGUUCCAGUUUGUUUUUAACCGAUCUGUUUGUGGACUUUGCUCUUUGCUGGAUUUCUUUCUUCCCGCCUGUUUCCUGUUUGUGUCUCACUGCUUCCCUCACAUCUCCCUCAGCAGCCUUUUCCAGCAUUACUUCUAACAAAAGUUUAUCUUACAUUUCUUGGUCAUGGAUGAUUUCGUAAGAACCAAACUGGUUGAAUGGGGGCUAAGUGAGUGGGUGGAAAAAUUUAAAGAUCAAGAAAUUGAUGAAGAAAAUAUUUUUGAGCUUGAUGAUCGAGAAAUUGAGAAUUUGAUCACAAAAGCUGGACCAAGAAUGAGAUUCAAGAAGAACCUCAAGCUGUUAAAGGUCUUGCCAUCCACAAGUGAUACAGGUGAGACACAUGCAUCAUAUUUAUUGCAUCUCAUAUUAUUCUG
Haplochromis burtoni (Burton's mouthbrooder) is the source of this 537-nucleotide long non-coding RNA. RefSeq lists it as uncharacterized. NCBI's taxonomy places the organism in Eukaryota, Metazoa, Chordata, Actinopteri, Cichliformes, Cichlidae. The transcript has 4 exons. The record is from RefSeq and is a predicted model, not a curated record.